Long non-coding RNA from Equus quagga, 8315 nucleotides. RefSeq lists it as uncharacterized. The transcript has 6 exons. NCBI's taxonomy places the organism in Eukaryota, Metazoa, Chordata, Mammalia, Perissodactyla, Equidae. The record is from RefSeq and is a predicted model, not a curated record.
CAGCGGAGCAUCAUCUGAUACAGCGCCGGAAGAUGAGAGGAGAGGAUGGCGCAAAGAGACCAGGCAGGUUCUGCUCUGCUGUCCACAGGGUCACUGGGAGUCAGAAUCCGCACCAUGGCACUAACGACAAAGUGUAUCUCCCAGAAGAGCUUUAUUCACUUUACAAAUUCAGAGAUAAGUUCCUGCAAGUAAGAACUGGUGAUGCGCAUUUUUUUCCCUCAACCACAGAACAGGAAAACUGCAGCACCAAUGCAAGGUUCUAAUACACAGUCAAGGAAAUGCCACAGCCUGUCGUUGCUCCCCCAGAGUGAGCAGCUUCCCCUGGGAUGGCGUCCCUGGGCUUCACGGCACAGUUCCUACUCUGCGGCGCUACGUAGAAGUGGGAAAGAGAAAUCCUGGACACUUGAUCUGUCUCGAUUUUGCAAAGGCAUUUUGCAGAGUCGCUAAUGACGUCUGCAGGGGACUGAAUGUGGCCUCCGCAGAUAUCGGGCUCUAAUCCCUGAAAGCUGGGAGUGUGCUGCCGACAGCGGUGCAUAAAUGGUCAAGUCUUGGCGGAGGUCAUUAAGUUAAGCAUCUUGAGUUGGGGAGAUUAUCCUGGAUUAUCCAGCUGGGCCCUAAAUGCCAUCCCAUGUAUCCUUCAAGGGCGGGGCAGAGGGAGACUUUGCAAUGACACGCCCAGGGGAGAAGGCAACGUAAAGAUGGAGUGGAGGAAGGUUUGAAGAUGCUAGCCUCGAAGACUGAGCGACGCAGCCACGAGCCAGGGAACACCAGCAGCCGCCAGAAGCUGGAAAAGGCAAGGAACAGAUCCUCCCUUGGGCUUCUGGGGGGAAUGUGGCCUGUUGGCACCUGGACUUCAGCCCAGUGAAACUGAGGUUGGACUUCCGGCUUCCAGAAUUGCGAGAGAAUAAAUUUUUGUUAUUUUAAGCCUCAAACUUGUGGAAAUUUGUUACAGCAGCCCCAGGAAACUGAUACAGCAUCCUUGUGGAUAAAAUAGAGACAUGGAUCUAGAAGACAGUUCAGGUUUAGAAGAAAGAUAGCUAACACUUGUACGACGUUUGGCCCAGUGCCCGGUGCAGAUGAAGAGCUCAACAGAAGGCAAUCUGAUCUCCUGUUAUGACCCAGUUGUUUGUUAGAGCCAUGUUGUGUCCUGAGCAACCCUCCAGCUCCUGGACUGGGCCCUGGUCUCCAGGAGGCUGGCGCUGAGGUGGAGAUGCUGGACUCCUGUGUUCCCAGGGUGGCCCCCAAGUCAACCCCGUUACGUAAGACAGCGCUUCUCAGCCGAUGCGUGGGGUUCACUGCGCCGCCUCAAACGCUUCCCCAGCGUGCUGCCAAAUUUUGGCAAUGUGUGAAACAUUUCUUUUUUAGCCUCUCUGUUGUUAUGCAAUUCCAGAGAGCGAGAUUGCUAAACCGAGCACCACGUGAUGUGGUGCACGGCCAGAGCCCAGCCUGUGGCAGGUCAGAGGUCAGGGGUCAAAGGUGGAAACUGAUGGCAAGCUGGUGUGAAGGAAAUGAGCACACGCGAGAACUUGGCCUUCUGAUUGUAUCAUGGAAAUAAAGUCAGCGAUGCAAAAGGGGACCAGGUGAAUCCCAGGAUAACUGAGGAGGCCAUUUCAACCUUUCAAGUGUGUAGCCCCGAAUCUGGUAUUCCACAGAAGGUUGGCAAUCACGGACACAGGGAAUCUGAGAAAGUCUCUAUUCCUUGCAAGCCUAACUAGUGGAAUCUGCCUUCCAUAGUUAUUGGAAGGGUCGCUGUGUGCAAUGGCUAAUUAUAAUCACAGCUGGCAAGGGCUCCAGCCAGGCAGAGGAAUCAUUCUUAUUCUCUGGUACUAGAGGGAGGGCAUAGCCCAGCGUUCGGGAGUUAGAUGGAGCAGGUUUUGCUGAGAAUAAGCAAAAAUGUCCUAACAGUGCAAUAGGGGAGGUUUGGGGAACAGCAAAUGCUCUCUCUCUCUUUCAGCAGAGGCGGCAAGACAGUUCAUCCAAUGUUUUAGCAGAGAUUCCUGCAUUGGGCGGCAGGUUGGAUGAAAUGCCUCUCAAGCAAGGUCUUUGCAAAGAACCCCAAAUUGUAAGUUUGGGUGUUGACAGAGCUUCCAGUAAGGGGCUGGACUCUACGCUUCUUAUCUAUGCGAAUCUGAGCCUCCCAACGUCAGCGCGUACCCUGAUGUGUAAGCUGUUGGAGCACACAUUCACGUUGAUGCUCGUGGACUUGCUCAGAACUCUUGAGACAGUAAAAUCAUUUCCCCUGUGGGGUUGUUUUCUUUUAGUCCUUCAGCUGACAGCGGUUGUAAAGAGCCUUUCUGGCUAGCAACAAAAUACCUCUCUAAGCUUUAGAAGAGAAGGAAUCUGCAUAAAACGUUCUCCCACACUUAUUGCUUUAAUUUCAAACUAGAGGUACCGAUCUUUUCAUAAGAACUUCCUGGCCGCUCCUCCCACGAAUGGUGUGUGUAUGGUGAAGACUACGUGUGCGGCAUUAAGGAUGGUGUUUAACAGCAUUUGGGCUGUUUAGAAUCUGCCCUGCAGACUGAAAUGAUACGUCCGGCUUUGUUUCCAGGGUUACAGAAACUUCUUUGGUCUAUUUCCAUGACUGUGUCCAGUAGAAAUGCACCACUGUCUGCUCGUCAGAAGGAGCAUCUGUGACCACCCCCGGGAUAACCGAGGCAUCCGUGGUGUCUCUAGUUGGAGUUGGCUUGGCUUGAGCCUUAGGGUAGCUGUCUGUGCCCGGAGGUACGACAACAAGAGACAGUGAUUCCAGAGGGCGGAGAGGAGGAAAGGAGCGGCAAGGAGCAGGUGGAGGGGAGGCUGGAUGCCCCCUGCCCCCAGGGGCGCAGCCUCGCCCCUGCUUAACCAGGUGUCGACUCCCGUACUUGGAGAAGGAAGAAGACUGUGUCCUAUUUGUUCAUGUGAAUUUACGUAAGAAACACAGCCUCAGUCGUUAGGCCUCGGGGCUAAUUUGUCUAUGUACUGCUUCAGAGUUGAGCUCGUGGGUUCAUUUAGUUUGGAACUUUGAAGGAUGAGGCUCUCUCUCUCGAGGAGCUGAGGAAGCUUGCUCCGGUUGCAUCAAAGAUGCUUUGUCCUCACCUUCUUCCCUCCUUUGAGACUCCCCUCCUUGCUUUGGCACGGGGUGGGAGUCGGGCGUGGGGGGGGUGGGGGGAGCUGAGAGCAUUCCUACUCAGUUUCCCGUGCAAAGAGCUGCUCAUGAGUUUGUCCCCUCACACAGACUGGAGGAGACCGGAGUUUCCCAGAAUGCUGCUUGCCGUUCCGUCUUAAUAAUCAGGCAGGGAUAAUAGCUGACAUCGAUCGCAGGCCAUUCUAAGCACUUCGCAUGUACAGCAAUAGCAAUAGCUAACAGUUAAUGUGGUGCUUACUCUGUGCCGAGCGCAGUUUAUUUUGUGUAUAUAUUAAUUUACGUUAUCCCCUAGUCCUCCUCUGAAGUAGUGACUACCGGCAUCCUCCAGGUACAGAUGAAGAACUGAGCUCAGAAAGCUUCAACAACUUGCUCAGGGUCAUUCUGCUAGAGUUAGGGCCCGGAUUCAAACUAAGAUUGUUGGGCUCUGUGUUCUUAACUAGUAUCCUCCCCUACCUCGCCAGGUUAUCACACCCAUUUUACAGAUAAGGAAACUGAGGCACAGUGAGAGGAAGUAGGCCUGGAUUCAAAUGGGGGCAAGAGACUCUGGAGCUGGGGUCUUCUCUGCUACGUCAUGUGACCUCCUGCAGGGACGUGUUCCAGUCUCACACUUCACACGGGGAGUGACCUGAGGACCCCUGCGAUGGUGUAACUCAUCUGGAUCAGCGAGGGACGCGGCACAGAGCGCAAGCCCCGUCAGUCCUGGUGUUGCUUCUGGGCCUGGAGCGGAGCGCGGGGCGCCGCCCUGAGGGCCGGAGUGCGGCUCUGGUGCCAGGAGCAGAGCCCACCUGUGCGGUCCCUGCUUCCCGACCUCUCCUUCAUUUCACCCAGGGCUGUUGGUCAGGAUGUCCUGGGACCCGCAGGGGACUUUGAAGCAUCAGACACCACAAUCAUAGCCCCACCAGUUAAAUGAGGGAACGAGCAAGGGGAGACAUCAUUCAGAAUGUGACUUAUUUGUUUAUCCAUGCCCUGUUCCCUAAGGAUUCAUGACCGUGUACAGAAAUGCCUUCACUCUGGGAGAGGGCAUCCGUUAGGCGUGUGUGACAGCGGCUGGAAUCCCAGCUCCCUCACUCCCCUUCCCGGGGAACCUGGACGGUCCCAUCAUCUUACUGCUCCCUGGCUUCCUUACCUCUAAACUGGAAACGAUGUCUUCCUGGUGGGCCUGGGCGAACAUGGACGACAGUUCCCGUCAGGUUCCUAGUGCAGGGCUGGCCCGCAGUAAGUGCUUGGUGGUUUACUGUUAUUACUGCAAGGUGGAGAGCGACGCAGCAUGCGCCAAACCAAGGGGAGGAGCCAUAAACCGAAGCCGGAUGUGAGGCCCGCAUGAAAACACCUAUGGGCCGGCCCCAUGCACCCUCUCAGGCUGGUGUGAAGAGGAACCUGAUUACUGAAUCAUUCCCAGAGCUUCUAAGAGGAAAACAGUGCUCAGGAGAGGCAGGAUGCCAGGCUGGGCGGGAAGAAAGAGCUCUGUAGGGUCCUUCUAAGGAGGAUGCUGCAGUGUUGCAAAUGGUGUCCACAACCACUUUAGAGUAAACCCAGUGACUGGGGCCACCAGCUGUCCCUAAGAGAGGCUAGUGGCAGCAAACCACAGCGUAGUCCAAUAGAAAUGUUCCACCAAAAGCCGGUGUAAUGGAGUCCACGCAUAGUCUGCUCGGCUGCUGUGACUCCACCAGGGGUGACAAUAGGUCAUGCUUCCUGGGCACUGUGAGGAGCCAGCGAGAGGCUGAGCCCUUGCCUGUGCCACCUCAUUAAGUCUUACAGCAACCAUGUGAGGCUGGGAAGGUGGUCCUCCCCAUUUUGCAGAUGAGUAAAUGGAGGACCGGAAAACAGGGUGAGAAAGCUGCCCGGGGUCAUUGAGUUCGUGAGCCCGAGCCAGACGUCCUGCUCAGGCAGGUGGCUCGGCGCCAGUACCACGACCCUCUGUCGCUUUGGAAAACCGAUUGGACUCAGCAUCCUUGUGACGGUCCUUGCCAGCUGAGCCUUUGAGGAAUCCCGGGCGGCAGUGAGUUCGAGAAAAUGUCCAGCCCCUGCCGAGUUCCCCAGGGGCAGUGUUUUGCUCAGGGUCUUGAUCCAAAGGCGCUCGUGGCCUCGGCUCAGAAAGGGGAGGGCAAGCAGGGAGCAGGGCCAAGUCCUGCCUUAGAAGUGCAUCUUCGGUCCACUGUCACACGCAGACACAUGGGUGACGGAAGACCCGAAGUGCUCCACGCAGCACGGCUGCAGUAAUUUGAGUCUGAAAAAGUGUCAAGGCAGUUGCACCCCUGUUUUGGCUAUUUCACAAAAAAAUGAGUAUAUGGCACUCAUAGGAUACUCAGCGUGCAUUCCUUUUAUUGUGAUUUUUGCCUAAUGUAUUGGACCCUCUAAAUUGUCUGGCAGGAAACACUCUCAAGGACUCCCUACCCUGUGACCCCCAUCACAGUAGAAGGUUCCAGAAAGGCCAGAUGCAGCAUUGUGCUGUUUCUGCCUGGGGGACGUUGCGUGGUUGUCAUUGUGACACGAGCAGGACUCGAGCGGUGCAGCCUUCUGGGCUCCCGUUCUUCUGCGGACCCUGAUGGAUGGCAGAGCCCCACCUCCCCUUCUGUGAGAGCCAGGCCCUCCUCGGGGUUUCCCAAGAUGGUCUCUGAGGACUUGUGGUGUCCAGCUCUGCCCGCCACCCCUGUCCGGGCCUGUCAGGUCCUGGUGGGGUCUGCUCUUUCGCUGCCUUUGUCACCGCCUGCUGUGCAGGGCCCCAGUUCCCUCUCCUUUGUGUCUGGGGCUGGGGAGGCAGCCCACUUGUGCUCACAGUUGGGUCUAACGUGGAGGAAUUGGAGCACAGCACAGCAGAGGCCAUAGCAGAAAGCCACAUGUUGUGUCCCUUAUCGGGAUCGCGCACCAUGCUCCCUCAAGCCCUGGCUCCCCGUUAUCCUCCUGAGUCUGCUCUUCCCCCCACUUACCGCCUCCUCCAAUCCCCAGACUCAGCUGCUUCCUUACGGAGGAGCAGAGUGUGGCUCAGUCUUCGUCUUCCCCUGGGCUUCCCAGCCGAGCCCGGAGCUUGCCUUUCUCACCCUCCAAGUCCCAUCGAGGCUCACGUGGUGGGGUUCUUCCCUGUGCGAUAAUUUACCUCCUAAUACGUGAAAGUGGACACACCCCUGGUUUUAAAUAGACCUCCCCUCCCACCCUCCCCCCCCCCGCCCCAUCAUCUGUAUCAGCGGUUACAGAAUAGUUGGGAAUUAAAUUUUUGUGAGGCAAGACAAAAUACCACAUAAUAAAAAUGACCGGAAAUGAGCUGUCAAGCCAUGAAAAGACAAGGAGGAAACUUAAAUGCGUCUUACUGAGUGAAAGAAGCCAGUCUGAAAUGGUUUCGUACUGUGUGGUUCCAGCUACAUGACGUUCUGGAAAAGGCAGAACUACAGAGACAGUAAAACGAUGUGUGGUUGCCAGGAGCUGGGGGAGAGGGGGAAAAACAGGUGGAGCACAGAGGGUUUUUAAGGCAGUGAAACGAAUCUAUAUGAUCCCAUAAUGGUGGGUAUGUGUCCUUAUACGUUGUUCAAACCCAUUGAAUGGACAACACCAAGAGUGAGCCGUGACGUAAACUGUGGACUCUGGGUGACUGACGUGUCGAUGUGGGUUCACUGAUUGUCAUAAAUGCGCCACCCUGGUGGAGGUGUUGAGAAUGGGGGAGGCUGUGUGUGUGAGGGGGGCAGGAAGUAUAUUGGGAAAUCACUAUACUCUCUGCCCGAUUUUGCUUUGAACCUAAAACUGCUCUAAAAAUAAAGUCUGCUUUUAAAAAUGACCGGAAGCAGGAGAUGGCUGCGCUGUGGUUGCGUAAGGAACAGCGGUGUUGAAAAUAAAGCAGGAGAAGAGGAGACGGCUGUUGGCUGGGGUGGCCCCACCAGGCUUCCUGGAGGAGAGGUGAAGGCUGGAUUGAGUGAUGAGGGGUGAACGGGAUUGGAUGAAUGGAGAGUGAGUAGGCGGGCGCCAGAGGGAGGAGGAGCAGCCUGAGCAGAGGCAUGGAGGUGGCAUGACGCGUGAGCCAAAGGACUGAGCGGUCAGCAGGAGUCCAGGCUGGUGGGACGAGCAGGGAUCCUGCCCAGGUGAGAAGGAGAAGCAGAAAGCCAGCUGUGGAGACCCUGCCAGUUGGUUCCUGGUAACAUUUUGAAGGGAUCGUGUUGAUUUCUGGUCCCUGUGUACGAGACACUCAAGAACGUAAACUGCUAGAACGCAGCUCUCUAAUUACGUCUAUUUCUUACAAUGUGUGUUUGUUGAUUACCGGGAGCUGUGAGACUUGAAGGUGUCUUGUGCACCAGCUGAACUCAGUGACUCUAGCAUCUCGGGUCCGGACAGACAGGGAGGCUGCCCAGCGCUGGACCGCGCUGCUCCAAAGGUGCUUCGUCCGCAGUGUGGGCAGCCUUGACUGAGAGAAGGCAGCAAAACGCUUAGCGUUCGAACCCCACGCCAGUGUCACAUACACCAGUGCGUCUCAAACUUCAGCCUGUGUCUGAGCACCUGGAGGAAUGGUUACAACUCAGAGUUUUAUAACUCCCUACCCGCUGAGAUUUGGAUUCAGUACAUCUGAGGCAGAGGUGGAGAAUUUGCAUUUCUAGCAAGUUCCUUGGUGAUGCUGACGCUGCUGGUGGGAGAUCACACUUGGAGAAGCACCGGUCUACUCCAGAGCCCCAUGGUUAACUUAUAAAGCUUUUCCUCUCCAGUUCUUGUGUCUGGAAAGGUGUGCCCUAGGGAACUUCAGAUUUGGGAAGAAGAGUGAAUGGAAGUCAAAAGAUGGAAACAACCCAAAUGUCCAUCGACAGAUGAAUGUCAAAUAAAAUGUGGUAUAUCCAUCCAAUGGAAUAUUGUUCACCCAUAAAAAGAAAUGACGUACUUCAACGUAGAUGAACCUUGAAAACAUUAUGCUAACUGAAAGAAGCCAUCACAUGAGGCCAGGUAUUGCUUAAUCUCAUUUGUAUGAAGUGUUCAGAAUAAGCAAAUUCAUAGAGACAGAAGGCAAACUGGUGGUUGCCGGGAGUUAGGCGUGGGAGGGAAUGGGGAGUGACUUCUUCUUGGGUUUCUAUUUGGAUGAUGAAAAGUUCUGGAACUAGACAGUGAUGAUGGACACAAUGCACAACAUUGUGAAUGGACUUAGUACCACUGUAUUUACGCUUUAAAAGGGUCAAUUCUGUGUUACGUGUAUUUUACCGCAAUAAAAAAUAAAAAGAGUGAA